Molecule: non-coding RNA, 368 nt
Organism: Vagococcus lutrae LBD1
Lineage: Bacteria; Bacillati; Bacillota; Bacilli; Lactobacillales; Enterococcaceae
Rfam family: transfer-messenger RNA
About the family: Bacterial tmRNA, also known as 10Sa RNA or SsrA, is named for its dual tRNA and mRNA-like properties. Its role is to liberate the mRNA from a stalled ribosome.
Source: Rfam
GGGGGCGUUCUGGAUUCGACAGGCAUAGUUCGAGCUCGAAUGGCGCUUUGUAGGUGACGACUACAUAAAAACGUCACAGUUAAAUAUAACUGCAAAAAACGAAAACAAUACUUUCGCUUUAGCUGCCUAAAAACAGCUUAGUGAAGAUCCUACCGGCAUCGCCCAUGUGCUCGGAGCAGGGUCUCAAACUUAGUGGGAUACGCUUAUUUUUUCCGUCUGUAAAAAUAAGAAGAGAUUAUCAGACUAGCGAUGUUAAACGCCCGUCAUAUGGCAGUUAACAAAGCGAAUCUCUAGUAAUAUGUCUAUGAGCGUAGAUGUUUGAGUGGCGAUAUGUUUGGACAGGGGUUCGACUCCCCUCGCCUCCAUAA